This 2050-nucleotide small RNA is filed under the name Rattus norvegicus (Norway rat). RNAcentral's name for it is "uncharacterized LOC102556133". Lineage: Eukaryota; Metazoa; Chordata; Mammalia; Rodentia; Muridae. The record is from RNAcentral.
AAAAAACCAACCUGGCUAUUCCUAGGAAUGAUAAAAUAUCUUCCUUUGUAGAAGGAACAGUUAGAGAAUGGAUCAGAAUCUUUCUAUCUAGGGUAAUAGCUUUUUAGGUUGGGGUAAUUGUUCGUCCCAAAUAGAUGACCAAAGGACUGGACUUUAGAAGGUGAGACCCUGUAACCUUUACUGAAAAUGAAAUUCAGAAGAGCAGAGGUGUCAGUUUGGCAAAUUUUUUGAGAGGGGUUACACAGAAGAAUGCAAUCUAUAUAGUGGACAGUCCUAGAUUUAGGGAGAGAAAGAGAGAAGGUAAUUCAGAAACCAGGGCCUGGCCAAAUUGGUGUGGGCUGUGCUGGAAUCUCUGAGGUAGAACAGUCCAGGUAAGUUGUGUAGAAAAGUGGGUGUCAGGAUCUGUUCAGGAAAAGGCAAAUAUGUUCUGUGACUGGGUAUCUAGAGGGAUAGAGAAAGUAGCAUCCGGAGAUCUAAGAUUGAGAAAUGAGAAUUCCCCAAGGGGAUAGUGGGAAGAAGUGUAUAAGGAUUAGCCACAACAGGAUGUACAGGAACUAUGGCAGAAUUAAUGGACCUGAGGUUUUGAACCAGGAGAUAGGUUCCACUAAGUUUCCUAACUGCUAAUGUAGGGGUUUUAAAGGGGGAAGAGGUAGGGCAAAGGAGGUUUUUCCUUAAGAGAUCAGAGGUGAUAUACUUAAGGCCCCUGAGGCUCUGGAGUGAAAGCAGGUAUUGAGGUUGGGUGAUGUACCUGGUAGAAUUCAGUAAUUGCUUGACAACAGGAGAAUGUUUAGCAGCAGAGGGGUUCUGGACAUCCCUGACAAGGAGGUCUACUUGAGAAGCUGGCCAGAAGUCAACUUGCAUUAGAAAAUGUGCUAUUACCAAGAAGCAUGUCACCAAGACAACCGAAUAGAACUGUCCAGAGUAUGUCCUUCUGCAGAAAUAUCAAUUGAGACAACUAUCCAGGCAUGAAAUACCUUCAUAAGAACUAAACAAAACAGGGAAAGCUCCUUAAACCAGAAGAGAGUUGUGGCAAAAAAAGACACACUCAACCAAGAGUUGCGAUGAAAGCAAUGUGUCACAUGAAUUGCCAAUACUUACACUAGUUAAAAGAAGAAAGAAACAAAAGAAAAUAGAGCAUCAUUAUAUAAAAGAGUCAACUUAUCAAGCAGCCCAUUGGUUCCUUGUGGUGCUGUCAGAAUGUACAUGAGGAACGUCUACUGAAGAAAGGAAAGCCUCUCAGAAGCCAAAUACCUGAAGAAAACUCACUCUGCCUCUCAUAAGAAUCCAUCAGUGGCCAAUAUCACCUCAGUGUUUCCACAGGACGUAUCCCAGAUGAUUGAGUCGGGGGAAAGUCUACAAAAGUUUGGAUGUUGAUUAUUUCCUAAUAUCCCAGAAAUGAGAGGAAAGCCUAAACAUGAUCUAGGAUUAAGGAUACCAGCUUUUGCAGAAGAACUAAAACAACUACCCAUGUCUAAACAAGCAACUACUAGACUCUUGGGCUUCCCAUUCACAACUGCCCAUUGUUGGGUUAGCUGGACUACUGACUAGUCACCAGCCAACAAACAGGCAUUAAAUUCACCAUCCUAAGGAAAUUAUUCAUACUCAAAACAUAACAGCCAAAAGUCAUGCACUUGAAGACUUCUGUCUCUACUCCUCUAUUCUACGGAUAAAGUGAAACCAUAACUUUCAGGAAAAGAAAACAUGAGAAUGUAGAUUACAAAAGUCGGAACUGACAAAAUACAUAAAGACCAUGGGAUGGAAUUUACAUUUUGAGGAUGGCAGAGUAAUGAAUCAGAAAGAGCCUUUGACACCAACGACUCACAGGAAGUCCCAACAUGUCUCCUUAAUAUCUUCAUAGUGGUCAUAUCAUUUGAAUAUGAAGAAGAAAAAGAGCAGGUGGAGGUAUUCAACCAUGCCGUCAAUCAACUAUGCAAUGCAACUAUGCAAUGACCAAUUAAAAGAAUAAGAAAUCUAAAUGAAUAGAUCUUUUAUUAUUAAUUUCAUUUAAUACUGGUUAAGCAAGAGAGACAGUUGAAUUAGGGUUUUUAAA